GUCUGGGUUGUGUAGUUGGUUUCUCGCAGGCUUUCUGCACCUAACGUUGCGGGUUCAAAACCCGGCCCUAGACG
Molecule: non-coding RNA, 74 nt
Organism: Trichonephila clavipes
Lineage: Eukaryota; Metazoa; Arthropoda; Arachnida; Araneae; Nephilidae
Source: the annotation of a GenBank genome assembly